Long non-coding RNA from Centrocercus urophasianus (Greater sage-grouse), 644 nucleotides. RefSeq lists it as uncharacterized. The record is from RefSeq and is a predicted model, not a curated record. The transcript has 3 exons. NCBI's taxonomy places the organism in Eukaryota, Metazoa, Chordata, Aves, Galliformes, Phasianidae.
GGCUUGUGCUUUCAUUUGCUGAAUUUCUAUUGAAUCCACUUUUCUUCUCCUCAUAAAUAGGUCGUGGUUUCCAAUGCACAACUGCAGAAUCUGGAUCAAAAAGAAAAGAAGAUGUGAUUGUGACAUAACUGUACCCCAUCCAGAGGGAAAAAGAACCUCACAGCAGCAUGACAGGGAAGCAGCGAUUUAUGCCACAAACACAGGGAGAGUGAUUCCAAGUGCUUUGCUCACAAGAAUCAGAACCAGGGCUGCUCUCUUUAUACAGGCCAUUUUGGAAGAUAAAGCCUCCCACAGAGCCACAUCUGAUGCCAGUUUGGAUGAUAUUUUUCAUAAUAGUACCACCUGUGCCUUGCAAACUGUACUGAGAACACUGGAACACGCACUGGCUAACAGGAAAAACAGAAUGCAUUGCUAGGAAUCUGACUCCUGGGUGUAAAGUAAGGCAGAUGUCAAACCCCAAUCUGAAUCCCAAACCAUUUCAGGUGCAAACGAAACAUAUCACAAAAGCCUGAAGGAUUUGUUCUUCUGACCAUGAGAUAGCACUACUAGAGCUCCUGCCUUCUCACAUUUUCACUGCUAUCUCCCAGGCUGUUUCCAGAAGAGAUAAAAGGUUUUCAUGCCGCCAGGAGGCCCAAAGAAAGAAA